AGUGCCCGCAGCGGGUCCGGCAGCCCUGGCCUUAUCCGGGCGUCGGGGCUUCGGCGGGCAUUAGCAGCAGCUGAGAGGCCUGUGAGAGGUUCUGGGGCGCCACCGCAGUCAUUCUGUUCAGCGGGUAUAGGGCUCCUCUAGGCCCAGUGGGUUGCUGGAUUUUUAACAGCCACAAGAAACCAACACUAAUGCAGUGUGAGCCCCUCAGCUGGUCUGUACUGGGCACUGAUUAAUGCCUACUUGGUAUGAGACACUUCCAAGCCAUGAGCCGGCUCUACCCCUCUUCCUGGAAUGCCUUCAUCUAACCUCUAUUCCUGCCAUUAUCCUUCCACAUUCAGCUCAGAUAUCCCUUCCUCUGGGAAGCUCUCCCGACUUGACAGAAAUAACUUCUCCCUCGUGUGCUGUGCAGAUCCUGUGCAGACUCCAACUGGGUCCUUAUGUAAUUAUGCUUACGGUCGGUCCACCUGCCUCUACACUGUGAGGGCAGGAACUGUGUCUUGUUCCUUGCGUGUGGCUUUGGAUGCAAAGCAACGUACCUGGCCAAACUGGCAUUGAGGAGAUAUCUGUUGGAUUAAGUGACUCGAGGUGGAGCCUCCCCAAAAGGAGAAGCUAGGCCUCUCUUCCCCAUCACCUGCCUCACCAUGUCUAAUAAGAUGUCCACUUUCAGCCGCAAGAGAUUGUUCUCUUCCUCCAACUGCUGGUUCCGCCUGCGAAGGCGCUGAACCUCCCUCCGGUCCACACCGCCACUAACCCCUGUCUCUGGAGGAAGGACAGAACCAGUUAAAGGGGGAUUUCCUCCUACAAUCUUGUUUGACAAAAUGGCAGGAAGUGCAGCUCACCUGCUAUCCACUGGCCAUUUUCAAACUUCAGGCUUUGCCCUGCCAGGUUCAUAGUCGGGGAUCCGUAUUCCAAGCCCAGCUCCACCUCCCGGGUUGAUCGAUCCAACUGUGGGCGAGAUGCUAUGUGACAACUUCAGCAGGCCCGGAACACGCCUUCAUCCCAGCUCCUCUUCCGCCAACAAUAUGACCCCAACAACUCAUUUCUCUAAUCAUUACUUGGCACCUUUAAUGAUUUUUUUAAAGCCAUAAAAUCAAAUGAUGUACAGGAAAAGUUUAAUUGUGAGAUAAAAAAUAUACUGUUUUAUACAUUAGAUGUUUUCCAGAAAAGCUAUAUAUACUGAAAUUUAUAAAUUGAAUUAUUUUAUACCUACUUGACACUUAAUAGUUUAAGCAAUCCUACUAUAAACUGUUAAUCAAGUGAAAAAUUCUUUUUAAAUGUAAUAGUCCCCCAAGUUAUCAUUUGCUUAAUAUGGAGCUACAUAUGUUGUGGAAAAGACAUAAAAUUCUAACAAUUAGGAGGAA
This 1361-nucleotide long non-coding RNA is filed under the name Homo sapiens (human). Its description in RNAcentral is "non-protein coding lnc-JOSD1-1:9". Lineage: Eukaryota; Metazoa; Chordata; Mammalia; Primates; Hominidae. The record is from RNAcentral.